GCCUGACUGGCCGCACUGCCCUCUCGCUCUGCUCAACAAAGGGUCACUGCCUGACUGGCCGCACUGCCCAUUCACUCUGCUCAGCAAAAGGUCACUGCCUGACUGGCCGCACUGCCCAUUCACUCUGCUCAGCAAAAGGUCACUGCCUAACUGGCCGCACUGCCCAUUCACUCUGCUCAGCAAAAGGUCACUGCCUAACUGGCCGCACUGCCCAUUCACUCUGCUCAGCAAAAGGUCACUGCCUGACUGGCCGCACUGCCCAUUCACUCUGCUCAGCAAAAGGUCACUGCCUGACUGGCCGCACUGCCCAUUCACUCUGCUCAGCAAAAGGUCACUGCCUAAC
Long non-coding RNA from Brienomyrus brachyistius, 343 nucleotides. RefSeq lists it as uncharacterized. The transcript is spliced from 4 exons. The record is from RefSeq and is a predicted model, not a curated record. NCBI's taxonomy places the organism in Eukaryota, Metazoa, Chordata, Actinopteri, Osteoglossiformes, Mormyridae.